CCCUUAGAUGUCCUGGGCCGCACGCGCGCUACACUGAACGGAUCAGCGCGUUUUCCCUUCCCGAGAGGGACGGGUAACCUGCUGAACCCCGUUCGUGGUAGGGAUCGGGGCUUGCAAUUAUUCCCCGUGAACCAGGAAUGCCCAGUAAGUGCAAGUCAUAAGCUUGCGUUGAUUACGCCCCUGCCCUUUGUACACACCGCCCGUCGCUACUACCGAUUGAACGUUUUAGUGAGGUACUCGGACUGAGCCUCAGAAGAUUCACGUCUUUUGUGCUGCUCGGGAAGAUUCCCAAACUUGAGCGUUUAGAGGAAGUAAAANUCGUAACA
Molecule: ribosomal RNA, 326 nt
Filed under: uncultured eukaryote
Lineage: Eukaryota
Description: partial 18S ribosomal RNA
Rfam family: Eukaryotic small subunit ribosomal RNA
Source: RNAcentral